AUGGCCGCCGCCACACUCCGCUCCGCCCUCCUCUCCUCCUCCUGCGCCCUCCGCCGCCUCUCCUCCGCCGCGCCGCGCGCCCCCCGCCUCGCCCAGCCCAAGGGGUUCGCCGGGGCUCGCCGGUCCUACCCGGCCGCGUUCGCCGCCAUGUCGACGUCGUCGGGGGCCAAGGAGGCGCCGGCCAACAACCCGGGCCUGCAGGCCGAGGCCGACCCGGCCACCAAGGGCUACAUCAUGCAGCAGACUAUGUUCCGCGUGAAGGACCCAAAAGUGAGCCUUGACUUCUACUCCCGUGUGAUGGGCAUGUCGUUGCUGAAAAGGUUGGAUUUUCCUGAGAUGAAAUUCAGUUUGUAUUUUCUUGGUUACGAGGACUUGUCUGCAGCCCCCGCUGAUCCUGUCCAGCGGACUGGAUGGACUUUUGGGCAAAAGGCUACGAUCGAGCUCACUCACAACUGGGGCACAGAAAGUGAUCCUGAAUUCAAAGGGUACCAUAAUGGGAACUCAGACCCUCGUGGGUUCGGCCAUAUAGGGGUAACUGUGGAUGAUGUCUACAAGGCAUGCGAGCGUUUCGAAAGUCUUGGGGUAGAGUUUGUGAAGAAACCAGAUGAUGGGAAAAUGAAAGGCAUCGCAUUCAUCAAGGAUCCUGAUGGUUACUGGAUUGAAAUAUUUGACCUGAAGAGAAUCGGGGAGGUGACUGCUGCGGCAUCAUGA
RNAcentral lists this ribosomal RNA (711 nucleotides) under Triticum aestivum (bread wheat). RNAcentral describes it as "partial small subunit ribosomal RNA". Lineage: Eukaryota; Viridiplantae; Streptophyta; Magnoliopsida; Poales; Poaceae. The record is from RNAcentral.